GACGAACGCUGGCGGCGUGCUUAACACAUGCCAGUCGAACGGUGAAGCGCCUUCCUUUUUGGUGGGUGUGGAUGAGUGGCGAACGGGUGAGUAACACGUGAGUAACCUGCCCCCUUCUUCUGGAUAACCGAAUGAAAGUGUGGCUAAUACGGGAUAUUCUGGGUCUGUCGCAUGAUGGGUCUGGGAAAGAUAUUGUUUCGGUGGGGGAUGGGCUCGCGGCCUAUCAGCUUGUUGGUGGGGUGAUGGCCUACCAAGGCGGUGACGGGUAGCCGGCCUGAGAGGGUGGACGGUCACACUGGGAAUGAGACACGGCCAAGACUCCUACGGGAGGCAGCAGUGGGGAAUAGUGCACAAUGGGCGCAAGCCUGAUGCAGCGACGCCGCGUGAGGGAUGGAGGCCUUCGGGUUGUGAACCUCUUUCGCCAGUGAAGCAGGCCUGCCUCGUUUGUGGGUGGGUUGACGGUAGCUGGAGAAGAAGCGCCGGCUAACUACGUG
Molecule: ribosomal RNA, 494 nt
Filed under: uncultured bacterium
Lineage: Bacteria
Description: partial 16S ribosomal RNA
Rfam family: Bacterial small subunit ribosomal RNA
Source: RNAcentral